Molecule: ribosomal RNA, 465 nt
Filed under: Vreelandella stevensii
Lineage: Bacteria; Pseudomonadati; Pseudomonadota; Gammaproteobacteria; Oceanospirillales; Halomonadaceae
Description: partial 16S ribosomal RNA
Rfam family: Bacterial small subunit ribosomal RNA
Source: RNAcentral
CCUACGGGAGGCUGCAGUGGGGAAUAUUGGACAAUGGGCGAAAGCCUGAUCCAGCCAUGCCGCGUGUGUGAAGAAGGCCUUCGGGUUGUAAAGCACUUUCAGUGGGGAAGAAAGCCUUGGGGCUAAUACCCUCGAGGAAGGACAUCACCCACAGAAGAAGCACCGGCUAACUCCGUGCCAGCAGCCGCGGUAAUACGGAGGGUGCGAGCGUUAAUCGGAAUUACUGGGCGUAAAGCGCGCGUAGGCGGUCUGAUAAGCCGGUUGUGAAAGCCCCGGGCUCAACCUGGGAACGGCAUCCGGAACUGUCAGGCUAGAGUGCAGGAGAGGAAGGUAGAAUUCCCGGUGUAGCGGUGAAAUGCGUAGAGCUCGGGAGGAAUACCAGUGGCGAAGGCGGCCUUCUGGACUGACACUGACGCUGAGGUGCGAAAGCGUGGGUAGCAAACAGGAUUAGAUACCCCAGUAGUC